CAGGGAAUAGUUUAGUUUAAAAUAUCAACUUUGGAGGUUGAUGAUAAGUGUGAUUUCUUUUCCUUGA
Molecule: transfer RNA, 67 nt
Filed under: Glyptotermes sp. B TB-2014
Lineage: Eukaryota; Metazoa; Arthropoda; Insecta; Blattodea; Kalotermitidae
Description: tRNA-Pro
Source: RNAcentral